GAUAAGUAAUGUGADUUGCAGAAUUCAGUGAAUCAUCGAAUCUUUGAACGCACCUUGCACCUCUUGGUAUUCCGAGAGGUACGCCUGUUUGAGUGUCGUGAAAUUCUC
Molecule: ribosomal RNA, 108 nt
Filed under: Gloeocystidiellum clavuligerum
Lineage: Eukaryota; Fungi; Basidiomycota; Agaricomycetes; Russulales; Gloeocystidiellaceae
Description: partial 5.8S ribosomal RNA
Rfam family: 5.8S ribosomal RNA
About the family: 5.8S ribosomal RNA (5.8S rRNA) is a component of the large subunit of the eukaryotic ribosome.
Source: RNAcentral